CCAUGGCUGGAGCAUCCCUCACCUCCGCCUCUAGGGCCCGGACUUCACCUCGGCCCGUAGACCCAGUGCCUCCACCUCGGCUCCUAGCUCCCUCACCUCCACUUUCACCCGGCGAUCCACCAGCUCCACCGGGCUCCCUUGUCCCUCCGGCUCCACCUUGGUCGGGCGUUGACCCACCAUCGCUUCAGGGCUCUGCUCCACCGGCUGCACUUUGUCACUCCAUCCCACCAGAUCCAUUGGGCUCCUUCCUCCCACCAGCUCCACCUUGGUCCUUAGUCGCUCCAGAUCUGCUGCAGAUCUGCGGAUCUCCGCCUCCACCUUGGUCACCAGAGCCCUCAGCUUCACCCUGGUCCCCCGGAUCCUUGGCAUCCCCCUGGCGCGUUGGCUCACCGUCUCUGCCUCGGGCUCCUCCACCAUCUGCUCUGCCACUGUUGGUCAGCCCCCUGGAGACGGCCGCCAUUCCUCCUCCAUGGCUCCUCCCUCUGUCGGCUCCACCAUGGGUCGCCAUCAUGGCUGUGGCCUGGGUCCUGCUCGGCUCCUCCUGCUCCAAGUUUUUCCUGUUUCCUCACUGGCUCCUCCCUCCAUUUGAUCCACCCUGGCUCCUCCUGUUUCCUCCCUGGCUUCUCCCUCCAUCGUCACCUCCCUGGUCUCUGUCUGCCGGCCCCCUCCUGGGUGUCCGUCCUCCUCCUGAGCAGCCUCCCAAGUUCCCACCCGUGAACAACAUCCCCAUACCCCCCCCCCCUGUUGUUCUACGGUCCGAAGACUCGCCCUCCGGGCGGGGGGCGAUAUGUCAGGAUCAUGGACCUGUUUUGUUAUGUUUUGCCCCUGUUUCUGUCCCUGUGUUCCCUUAUUUAGUCAUGUUCCUGUCCUCGUUUAUUUAAUUAGCCAUUCUGUGCACCUGUGUUUGACAAUUGUCCUGUGUUUAUAAGUUCUUGUCUAUGCAUUUCUCCUCUGUCAGGUCUACUUAUUGUGAAAGUCAUCCUUGUGCUCUGUGUCUCCCUAUUGGAUGAUUAAAAGACUCUUGUUCUGUGAAAUCUCCACGUUUCCUCGUGCCCGUGCUCCAGCGUGUUGUGACAUAUAUAUAUACAAUAUAUAUAUAUGAAUAUAUUGUAUAUAUAUAUGAAUAUAUUGUAUAUAUUCAUAACAAUGUUUGUAGUUGUAAGGUCCACGCACUUGGCCCAAGGAAGGUAUCCAGUGGUAGCUGAAGGUUUC
This is a long non-coding RNA of Cyprinus carpio (common carp), 1212 nucleotides long. NCBI's taxonomy places the organism in Eukaryota, Metazoa, Chordata, Actinopteri, Cypriniformes, Cyprinidae. The record is from Ensembl.